Molecule: transfer RNA, 74 nt
Filed under: Alkalibaculum bacchi
Lineage: Bacteria; Bacillati; Bacillota; Clostridia; Eubacteriales; Eubacteriaceae
Rfam family: tRNA
About the family: Transfer RNA (tRNA) molecules are approximately 80 nucleotides in length.
Source: Rfam by way of RNAcentral
GGCGGCGUAGCUCAGUUGGCUAGAGCACACGGUUCAUACCCGUGGUGUCAGCGGUUCAAAUCCGUUCGCCGCUA